Long non-coding RNA from Hemicordylus capensis (graceful crag lizard), 4988 nucleotides. RefSeq lists it as uncharacterized. The transcript is spliced from 2 exons. Lineage: Eukaryota; Metazoa; Chordata; Lepidosauria; Squamata; Cordylidae. The record is from RefSeq and is a predicted model, not a curated record.
UCCAUCACCAAUGGAAGGAUGCAGGGAUGCAGCGAUGGAAGGACCAUCGGCUCGUCGCGGAUGGUACCUGCCUUGGGAAGGCUGCUAGCCGCUGGCAUGCAGUUAUGGUUCCGGCUGCUUUGGAUACAUGUCCAGGAUGGCAACAAAAACAGGAGGUGUCUCCAGCCCACACAGCUGCAGUUGGCAUGGUGGAUCACAAGUUGUGCCGAUCUGGGAUAAGCAAUCGAUUGCUGUACUACAACCUGCGCUUGCUGUUGUGUAACAAAUCUCGAAGGCUGCAGAUGAUGCAGACUGGUGUCUGCCAGAAUGGUGGGUGAGCCGAAACACAACUGGAAAACUAGCACACCAACAUCACUGUUGUGCUUUCCCAUUGCCUUCAGUCUGAGCAUAACACAUGAUGCUGGUUUUGGCGUAUAAAGUCCUAAAGCAUUUGGAGCCUCUAUAUAUUGAAGAUCACUUCAUUUCCUGUAUUCCAUUGCAAUGUCUCUGGGCCCUGGGUGAAAAAGGCCUCUUCAGAGGGCUUUCUGGGCAACAGAAACUAACAAGGAAGGCGAGAGAAAGAUGUAUUCUAACGGGCAGUUCCCAAAGCCAUUAGUCCUUGGGGCUUCUUGCAGAAGGAAUGUCAAUGUCAUAUGAACACCAGGGGCAGUGCUUCCCUGAGGCAGGCUGGGAUGGUGGCUUCAGGUGCAGGCACAAGGAGGGAGGCAGGAGGCAGGGAGUGCCCUCUUCCUCCUGCCACUUUGGCAUCACCCCACAGGCCUCCCUGCCACCCACUCUUCCUCACUCCACUGGGAUAUGCUGUUCAUUUUUAACUCCUCACUCUGCUGGAGCACACCAGGCACAUCCUUGCCACCGCUACCUGGCUUAGGGACAUGGGCUGAGACUGUUCACAUGUUGCUCUUGCCUCAACAGAAUGACCUGCGAAUACUGAACACCCACUCGUAGAUGUGAGCAUCAGAUUGUCUUUUGCCUCAGGCAGCAAAAUGAUUUGGGCUGUGCCUGUAGGACGCCUUGAGCAUAUGGGAUAAGUUGAGAAAUAUAUCAAUCAUCAUCAUCAUCAUCAUCAUCAUCAUCAUCAUUAUCAACAACAAAUCUAAUAUUUUCAGUUAUCUACUUAAUGUAUAGCCUGUGUUUCCACUCAAAGAACCCCCAAGUGGCUCAAAAAAACAUGUUAAAACAGCAAAAUACAUUAAAAACUCCCAUAAAAUCUUAUAAACACUGGCAAGAAGAGCCAGGAGCAUUCCCAGAUGGGGCUUUUAGCUCGCAUCUCCACUGAAAUGGACGAUGUGCAUUCACUUUUCAGCCAGAUUUACCCUGAAGUCUGUGCAACAUAUCAGAGGGUUCUGAUAUGUACAUAAUUCGCGUUUCCCCCUCCAUAUUGAAGCCUAGCCCAGUUUAUGUACGGGGUUUAAAAAAAAAUCCACUUUUUGCAUCAGGGUAUCCAAUAUGCCCCGAACUCCCAGUAAAGCCUCUCAAUAAACCCAUGUUAAAGCCUGUUGUCUGGGAAAGCUCCCAUUACCUCCCUAGCCUUCCUCAAUCUGCAGUUGCCUGGUGGGGUAAAAAGGCCUUCACCUGCUUGCAAAAGGUUCCAAAUAGAUGCUUCCCAGUGAAUUUCUCAGGGGAGAGCAUUCCAGAAUUUAGAAGCCACCACAGAGAAGACCCUGCUCUUGCUAGAGAAUAAGCUAGCACCCACAAGUGGUGGCCCACCGAAGCAAGCCUUCACUAGAUAUUCUGUGCGCAUGGAUUGGGUGGGGUGGGGCAUCUCCUAAGGCGGAAGACACUCUCUCCACUUGCCCACAUGUUGAAGCAGCUGCCGUCCCAAACAGCACGUACAAUACAAUAGAGAGAGCAAGAUGUGAGCAGCUCUGCAGGCUCCCCCUCCAAGCAGACUGGCAGAAGAUCAAGCAGGAGUGCUUCCCCAGAUCCCUAAAGCAGAAUGAUUUAUUAAUUUUUUUGCCCUGCCAAGCAGGUUCUUCUGAGCAAAGCUAUCAGCUAAUGGGCACCGCUGGCCAGCUGGCAGGGCAAGCAUGAUCCCCCAUCCGAGAGCCCACAGUCAGCAGUCACUCACACCAUGAAUUAUAGAUGCCCCUUGAUUUCCGCUCUUUGGUAUUCCCAGCUGGCAGGAACCAUGUUGAUCUUCUCCGACAUUUCCAGCAGGGCAAAACUGGGCAGUCCAAGGGUGGAGAAAUGAGACAGGUCCGUGUGUGGGCAGGAGAGGGUAUAUUUUUUGGAGACUCCCAUAAGAGACAACCUCUCUUCUGUCAGCAAUGCCUCAGAAUGGCAUAAGGCAUCUCUACAGCUUAGAGGAGGAGUCCCCCGGUAUAUUCCAUUCCCACCAUUCCCGUAGAAAGAAAGCAUGCCAUGUUCCAUAUUUAAUCUGAUGUUUUUCUUGGUUAGGUGAGCACUUUCUGAGUCCCAAUGAGCCACAUACUGUUCUGAACAACUGACAUUCUGAACCCCUGCUCGCUGGGCAGAGUCAGAGCCACUUUCAAAGCGGCGAUUCCCUUAUAUUUAACAUGGGGAGAGCAACCCACCCUAUCCGACCCCAGCACAGCUGGUGUUGCUGGUGUCUCCCUUGUGUUUCUUCUUAAAUUGUGAGCCCCUUUGGGACAGGGAAGCAUUUUCUCAUUCCUCCUCCCCAUUCCCCCCCCCCAUUCCUUCUGCUAUGUAAACUGCUUUGUGAACUUUUUGUUGAAAAGCAAUACCUUAACAAUAGUGAUAGUAAUAGUAAUAGAAAUAAUAACACAUUCCACAGGUUUGUCAAAUGCGUAAUUUGUCUUUUCCUUGAUUGAGAAAAAACUCAUUUUAGUAAAGCCUUGGAACUGAGUACAUAUUUUGAAACUGAGUACCUAUGAAGACAAAUGUAAUUGUGCCCCUUGUUACCCAGCCUGCUCUGCUUCCCCUUUCCUGAUAUCCUAGCAACGGGCUUCACACAAGUUAGUGGUAUGGAACAGCAUGGAGCUUCUGUGUGUUUCAGUUUAACCUUCACACGUUUUUAAGCACAGGCCUUAAGACCUUGCUGUCUUUGCCCCCACCUGAAAUACCUUUUCUCUCCUCCUCCACACUGUUUCGGCCACAAGUUGCCACUUGUCUGUUUGUCACCUGGGCAGCUGGGAAUUGAAGUCCUAGGCCCAAUGUCAGGAUAUAGAUGCUUAAAGUCUCAGAAUGGCUCUUCACCCAGCUGUGCUUUGCUGUCAGGGCGUGGACACAUGCACACACACAUCCACACACACACACACACGGCUUUUGCUUCUUGUGCUUGUGCUGCUCCGCUCCGCUUGGGAUGCUGGGCGAAGAGCAUAAGGUUCUCAGGUUUCCAGGAGCCCUCAGCAAACUACCCUCCACCGCCCCCUCCUACCUGGGCAUAAGGGUUGCCCACUCCGACUGAAGCUAUUUAUGGAGAUCCCCCCACCCCCCGCAUAGAGUGCUGCCCCAUCACAGGAGCACAGGAAGUUGUGUUAUACUGAGUCAGGCCCUUGGCCCAUCUAGCUUAGAGUUGUCUACACUGACUGGCAGCGGCUCCUCCAGGGUUUCAAGCAGGAGUCUCUCUACCUGGAGAUGGCAGGGAUCAAACCUGAAAAGCAGAUGCUCUCUACCACUGAGCUAGGAAGAUGGGUUUGGGGGGGGGGGAGAAGAGAGAGAGAGAGAGAGGUUUGGUUCUCUCUUCUUGGCCUUGUGCUCCUGCUGCUCCACUAGAGUAGAGAACCAAGGUCUGUUCUGAGAGAACGGUGAACUACAUUAGCAAAAGCCCUGGCUGGCCCAAGUGGGAAAGAGGGGGGAAGAGUGCCCAGACCAAAGUGUUUCCUGUCCCUUCCUCAGGGGCAGCCCAAGGUAUUGUGGCACCUGCAGCGAGGUACCAAACACUCACUGCUUUGCCCCAGGACCCAGGUGGGGGUCAGUCCCCUUUCAAAACUGACCCUUGCAAGUUUUGAAAGUGGGGCAGGAGUGGAGAGGUGGGAGGGCAGCAGCAGCAGCAGCAGCAGCAGCCUCCUUACAUAGGAACAUAGGAAGCUGCCAUAUACUGAGUCAAACCAUUGGCCCAUAUAGCUUAGUAAUAAUAAUCUCUUCAUUUCGGUCAGCGACCAGCAUGAUCUAGCUUAGUAUUGUCUUCACAGACUGGCAGCGGCUUCUCCAAGGUUGCAGGCAGGAGUCUCUCUCAGCCCUAUCUUGGAGAUGCCAGAGUGGCCCCAUCCCCUAAGAGGAAUAUCUUACAAUCUGCUCACACAUGUAGUCUCCCAUUCAGUUGCAAACCAGAGUGAACCCCGCUUAGCAACGGAGACAACCCUGGUGUUGGUUUAUAUUGCUGGCAAAUUCAUUUCAGGUGUUAAAGUAAAGAGGUGUUGGUUUUACAUUUAAUCUCAGCCCUUUCUUGGAGAUGCCAGGGAGGGAACUUGGAACCUUCUGCUCUUCCCAGAGCAGCUCCAUCACCUGAGGGGAAUAUCUUACAGUCCUCACACUUCUAGUCUCCCUUUCAUAAGCAACCAGGGUGGACCCUCCCAGCUAUUUAUGGACUUUGUGCUUCUUGCAUGUGCUCCUUGUGCUUCUUGCAUGCUUUGUAAGGAAUGUGAGGGGCCGUGUUCCUUGAAGAGCUUGCAAGGGUCAGCUUGCAUAUAUAUGUUUACCUUGUUUAAGGUUUUUCCACGGAUUUCUGUUUAUGCUUUGGAACAGACCAAAGGGCCAUCACAAGCAGCAAUAUUUUGUUUACAACCAUGGCCAGCCAGAUGCCUCUGGGAAGCUCACAAUUAGGACCUGAAAGUAGCAUCCCUCCCUGGAGAUAUACUGCUUCUGCUUUUGGAGGUUCCAUUUAGCUCCCAUGGCUAAAAGCCACAUUUUAAUGUCUUAUUGAUUGCUGUUGUUUAUUGUCGUUCAUUGAUUUGUUGUCUUUUUACGCUUAUGAUGCUUUGCAAUUUCUGGUGAACCACCCUGGUAAUAUUGUACUGAUGGAUGGCAAAGAUCUCUGUAAAAUAAAUAAAUAAAACAGACCCAUC